AGAGUUUGAUCCUGGCUCAGAUUGAACGCUAGCGGGAUGCCUUACACAUGCAAGUCGAACGGCAGCACGGACUUCGGUCUGGUGGCGAGUGGCGAACGGGUGAGUAAUGUAUCGGAACGUGCCUAGUAGCGGGGGAUAACUACGCGAAAGCGUAGCUAAUACCGCAUACGCCCUACGGGGGAAAGCAGGGGAUCGCAAGACCUUGCACUAUUAGAGCGGCCGAUAUCGGAUUAGCUAGUUGGUGGGGUAACGGCUCACCAAGGCGACGAUCCGUAGCUGGUUUGAGAGGACGACCAGCCACACUGGGAUCUGAGACACGGNCCAGACUCCUACGGGAGGCAGCAGUGGGGAAUUUUGGACAAUGGGGGAAACCCUGAUCCANGCCAUCCCGCGUGUGCGGAAUAAUGGCCNU
Molecule: ribosomal RNA, 412 nt
Filed under: Achromobacter xylosoxidans
Lineage: Bacteria; Pseudomonadati; Pseudomonadota; Betaproteobacteria; Burkholderiales; Alcaligenaceae
Description: bacterial SSU rRNA
Rfam family: Bacterial small subunit ribosomal RNA
Source: RNAcentral